AACGCUGGCGGCGUGCUUAACACAUGCAAGUCGAGCGGAGAUUGCAUUUAUGUAAUCUUAGCGGCGGACGGGUGAGUAACGCGUAGGCAACCUGCCUUGCACAGAGGGAUAACACCGGGAAACUGGUGCUAAUACCACAUGAUAUCAUAACAAGGCAUCUUGAAAUGAUCAAAGGAGAAAUCCGGUGCAAGAUGGGCCUGCGUCCGAUUAGUUAGUUGGUGAGGUAACGGCUCACCAAGGCGACGAUCGGUAGCCGAACUGAGAGGUUGAUCGGCCACAUUGGGACUGAGACACAGCCCAGACUCCUACGGGAGGCAGCAGUGGGGAAUAUUGCGCAAUGGGGGGAACCCUGACGCAGCAACGCCGCGUGAAGGAAGAAGGCCUUCGGGUUGUAAACUUUUUUGAUUGGGGAAGAAAAAAAUGACGGUACCCAAGGAACAAGCCACGGCUAACUACGUGCCAGCAGCCGCGGUAAUACGUAGGUGGCGAGCGUUGUCCGGAAUUACUGGGUGUAAAGGGCGUGUAGGCGGGAUUGUAAGUCAGAUGUGAAAUUCCAGGGCUUAACUCUGGAGGUGCAUCUGAAACUAUAAUUCUUGAGUGCUGGAGAGGAAAGCGGAAUUCCUAGUGUAGCGGUGAAAUGCGUAGAUAUUAGGAAGAACACCAGUGGCGAAGGCGGCUUUCUGGACAGUAACUGACGCUGAGGCGCGAAAGCGUGGGGAGCAAACAGGAUUAGAUACCCUGGUAGUCCACGCUGUAAACGAUGGAUACUAGGUGUAGGAGGUAUCGACCCCUUCUGUGCCGGAGUUAACACAAUAAGUAUCCCACCUGGGGAGUACGG
RNAcentral lists this ribosomal RNA (838 nucleotides) under uncultured organism. RNAcentral describes it as "bacterial SSU rRNA". It matches the Rfam family "Bacterial small subunit ribosomal RNA", at positions 32 to 885 of the family's 1533-position model. The record is from RNAcentral.